Molecule: long non-coding RNA, 358 nt
Organism: Hibiscus syriacus
Lineage: Eukaryota; Viridiplantae; Streptophyta; Magnoliopsida; Malvales; Malvaceae
Exons: 2
Source: RefSeq, a predicted model, not a curated record
UCUCCUCUUUACAAAAGCCAUCUCUUUCGAGCUGAAAAUAUGGUACAUUGGUACUGGUAAAUGAUCCCUGAUGUUACAUGCUUGCCUGCUUACUUGUCAAAUUAGGUACAGGCAGCUGCCCCGAACCAGCCUGUCAAGGAGAAACGGUUGCAUUACAUAGGGGGUUGGGUCAGCCCCAUAUAUUCCGGUACUGUUCUCAACGGAUCAAUUGCUACAGAGUUACUUUUUGGUGUGUGUUUUCUCAUUGUAUCGGAGACACAUGCUUCCCAAGUGUAGUUGUCAAUGGUAGGAGUGGGGAACCUUACUUGCAUUGUAGAGAUCUCCAAUCUAUUUUAAUAAUAAAAGAAGAGCAUUUUCG